CUACAACUCGGUGAUACGAUCUAAAAUGUUAGAAUCAACAUAUCUUCGACAGCGCUUACGGAGAGCAGGACUCACAAAAAUCAAGAAUCUGAGGGCUGGCAACAGAUGGAAGACGGCUAGAGAACUGUGCACUGAGACGGGGGUACUGUCGUGCCGCCUCAUGCAGAGACUGUCGGGAGAGGUGGUCUCUGCACUGCCCUCUCUUUUCAGGGAAGCAUUGGGACAGGACCGAGAGGAAAAUCAGCAGGCCAUUUCAUCUCUACGAAUCUCCGCGGCAGUAGAGGGGAAUCAGCGAGAGGAAGGAGCUCUUUUAUCCUUUAAAACACCGUCACUGACAACUUUUGAGGACGCCUCGAAGAAAGUACUGUAUGAAACAUGUAUCAAAGUUGGGCACAGAGGUGCUCUGACAGGACUGAAAGAGUCGCACUGGUCAGGGCUGUUGGAACCAGACUCUUCCCCACGAGGAUGCUGGAGGUCCCUGUACAAACCGCCCAUAGAGAAGCGCACAGCUGAUCUUCAGUGGCGGAUAGUGCAUGGGGCCGUGGCCACAAACAGACACGUGGCACACAUCGACCCCACUAGGGGUAGGGAGUGUCUCUUCUGUGGCGAGGAAGAAACAGUAGAACACUUGUUCUUGCACUGUCAAAGAUUACAAAGGUUGUUCUCUCUACUUAGAGCCUGGUGCAGAGGGCUGGGCGUUACAUGGGCAGAAAGCCUUUACAUAUAUGGGCCAAAGUACGUUCCAAAAAAUAAAGCUGUGGUUCUACUGAACUUUAUAAUAGGCCAAGCCAAGCUUGCUAUCUGGCUUUCAAGAAAAAACAAAAUGCAGGGAAGAGGCACUCAGGAGGCGGAAAAACUGCUAACUGCACUAGUCAAAGCGAGACUCAAAGUUGAAUACGGUUUUUUUAAAACCGUAUUCUUGGAAGUUUGGGCGGUUGGGGAGGUCUUAUGCUCUGUAGGUUCAGGGUUUUUAAGUCUUAAUCUUUCUUUAAAAAAAAGAGCGGGAUGUGAAAUAGUUACUUUUUUUUUACUUUGGGUUUUCGUGUCAACUUAUAUAUAUUCUUUACUAUUUUUAUUACUUAUAAUAUAUAUUUUUGUUUUCUCUCUACAUUUUUAAAUUUUAUUUAUUAAUUUAUUUAUUUUAUUUUUAUGUAUCAAUGAAUUUUUCCUUGUCAUUAUCUACCAUGUGACUGAUUUCCAAAUGACUGAAUAAAAAGGACAAUUUAAAAG
Ictalurus punctatus (channel catfish) is the source of this 1230-nucleotide long non-coding RNA. The record is from Ensembl. Lineage: Eukaryota; Metazoa; Chordata; Actinopteri; Siluriformes; Ictaluridae.